GGGAGCAUUGUGUAAGCCUGUGAAGGUGUGUUGUAAAGCAUGCUGGAGGUAUCACAAGAGCGAAUGCUGACGUGAGUAACGACAAAACGGGUGAAAAGCCCGUUCGCCGGAAGACCAAGGGUUCCAGUCCAACGUUAAUCGGGGCUGGGUGAGUCGACCCCUAAGGCGAGGCCGAAAGGCGUAGUCGAUGGGAAAUCGGUUAAUAUUCCGAUACUUGUUUAUGAUGCGAUGGAGGGACGGAGAAGGUUAUGCCAGCUUGGCGAUGGUUGUCCAAGUGGAAGGAUGUAGUUAGGUUUAGUAGGCAAAUCCGCUAGACUAUUAAUGAGAUCUGAUAGCAAGCUGUACUUGUACAGCGAAGUGGCAAAUACCCUGCUUCCAGGAAAAGCUUCUAAGCGAUAGUCAUAAAGAAAUCGUACCCGAAACCGACACAGGUGGUCAGGUAGAGAAUACCAAGGCGCUUGAGAGAACUCUGCUGAAGGAACUAGGCAAAAUGGUACCGUAACUUCGGGAGAAGGUACGCUGCCGAUGGUGAGUAGACAUGCUCUACAAAGCUAUUGGCAGUCGCAGAUACCAGGCCGCUGCAACUGUUUAUUAAAAACACAGCACUCUGCAAACACGAAAGUGGACGUAUAGGGUGUGAUGCCUGCCCGGUGCUGGAAGGUUAAUUGAUGGGGUUAGCGUAAGCGAAGCUCUUGAUCGAAGCCCCAGUAAACGGCGGCCGUAACUAUAACGGUCCUAAGGUAGCGAAAUUCCUUGUCGGGUAAGUUCCGACCUGCACGAAUGGCAUAAUGAUGGCGGCGCUGUCUCCAGCAGAGACUCAGUGAAAUCGAAAUCGCAGUGAAGAUGCUGUGUACCCGCGGCUAGACGGAAAGACCCCGUGAACCUUUACUACAGCUUUACAUUGAACUUUGACCUUACCUGUGUAGGAUAGGUGGGAGGCUUUGAAGCAGGCACGCCAGUGUCUGUGGAGCCAUCCUUGAAAUACCACCCUGGUAAUGUUGGGGUUCUAACUCAAGCUUAACAGAGCUGAGGACAAUGUAUGGUGGGUAGUUUGACUGGGGCGGUCUCCUCCUAAAGAGUAACGGAGGAGUACGAAGGUGCGCUCAGAACGGUCGGAAAUCGUUCGAAGAGUAUAAAGGCAAAAGCGCGCUUAACUGCGAGACCCACAAGUCGAGCAGAUACGAAAGUAGGUCUUAGUGAUCCGGUGGUUCUGUAUGGAAGGGCCAUCGCUCAACGGAUAAAAGGUACUCUGGGGAUAACAGGCUGAUACCGCCCAAGAGUUCAUAUCGACGGCGGUGUUUGGCACCUCGAUGUCGGCUCAUCUCAUCCUGGGGCUGAAGCAGGUCCCAAGGGUAUGGCUGUUCGCCAUUUAAAGAGGUACGCGAGCUGGGUUUAGAACGUCGUGAGACAGUUCGGUCCCUAUCUACCGUGGGCGUUGGAAAUUUGAGAGGAUCUGCUCCUAGUACGAGAGGACCAGAGUGGACGAACCUCUGGUGUUUCGGUUGUGACGCCAGUCGCAUUGCCGAGUAGCUAUGUUCGGAUGGGAUAACCGCUGAAAGCAUCUAAGCGGGAAGCCCACCUUAAGAUUAGAUUUCCCUAAAGAGCCGUUGUAGACUACGACGUUGAUAGGUUGGGUGUGGAAGCAUAGUGAUAUGUGUAGCUAACCAAUACUAAUUGCUCGUUUGGCU
The sequence is a ribosomal RNA, 1688 nucleotides long. It matches the Rfam family "Bacterial large subunit ribosomal RNA", at positions 1232 to 2925 of the family's 2925-position model.